GAUGAACGCUGGCGGCGUGCCUAAUACAUGCAAGUCGAGCGAACAGACGAGGAGCUUGCUCCUCUGACGUUAGCGGCGGACGGGUGAGUAACACGUGGAUAACCUACCUAUAAGACUGGGAUAACUUCGGGAAACCGGAGCUAAUACCGGAUAAUAUAUUGAACCGCAUGGUUCAAUAGUGAAAGACGGUUUUGCUGUCACUUAUAGAUGGCUCCGCGCCGCAUUAGCUAGUUGGUAAGGUAACGGCUUACCAAGGCAACGAUGCGUAGCCGACCUGAGAGGGUGAUCGGCCACCCUGGAACUGAGACACGGUCCAGACUCCUACGGGAGGCCGCAGUAGGGAAUCUUCCGCAAUGGGCGAAAGCCUGACGGAGCAACGCCGCGUGAGUGAUGAAGGUCUUCGGAUCGUAAAACUCUGUUAUUAGGGAAGAACAAAUGUGUAAGUAACUAUGAACGUCUUGACGGUACCUAAUCAGAAAGCCACGGCUAACUACGUG
This 497-nucleotide ribosomal RNA is filed under the name uncultured bacterium. RNAcentral describes it as "partial 16S ribosomal RNA". It matches the Rfam family "Bacterial small subunit ribosomal RNA", at positions 28 to 507 of the family's 1533-position model. The record is from RNAcentral.